This is a long non-coding RNA of Cucumis melo (muskmelon), 759 nucleotides long. RefSeq lists it as uncharacterized. The transcript is spliced from 3 exons. The record is from RefSeq and is a predicted model, not a curated record. NCBI's taxonomy places the organism in Eukaryota, Viridiplantae, Streptophyta, Magnoliopsida, Cucurbitales, Cucurbitaceae.
UGAUGGUUUCUUAACAAAUAAGCAUACAGAAUUUCAUUCCACGUAUCAGGAACUCCUGGUAAACACCAAUGUAUGCAAUCUGCAAAAAUUUUUGGAUCAGAUCUCUGUUCUUUCGUCAAAAGCUUGCCUCGACGCUCCCCGUAAAUCGAUUGCUUGACCCAGUGCCCCAAUGUGGAUGAUGAAUUGGUUGAGACUCAUUGAAGCAGUUCUCAUCAGUUCCUGGCCUCCAUUCCCAGCUCCUACAACAGAUAAUUUGCCACCUUUCUUAUUAAGCUUCAAUGGAUGGAACUUUGAGAGACAACAAUCGGUAGUCGAUGCUUUUCACUUCUUGGUCGACCAUACAUCUUAAAGACAAAGCUUCCAUGACUCUUUAGAUCAUCUAAAACUAACCGAGCGAGUCCUAUUAUGAGAAGAGCGGCCAAUGCUACCGGAAAGACAGAAUGAACUUGCCGAUCCAAGGAGAGUUGCUUCAACAUUUUGCUUUGUGGGUGAUGAAUUGAUUUUCUUUACUAUUGUUUGACAUUGUGUUUAUUGGGAAGUUACUGAAUUAUUGUUCAUAUCUUUAGUUUGAAGUAUCCUUUCUUUUUUGUGCAACCACCAGUUGGUGGAAUGUAGGUGGUAGUUUCAUGCUUUGCAAAGCUAUGAACUGUUCUCAUGGUCAAUCUGAAACCUUUUUUCCCUCAAACAAAUAGGAUAAGCAGAUUUGCACCGUAGAUCUCUAAAGAAAGAACCAAUAAAUAUCAAUUACUUUGAACUGUA